RNAcentral lists this ribosomal RNA (433 nucleotides) under uncultured bacterium. Its description in RNAcentral is "partial 16S ribosomal RNA". It matches the Rfam family "Bacterial small subunit ribosomal RNA", at positions 29 to 507 of the family's 1533-position model. The record is from RNAcentral.
AACGAACGCUGGCGGCAGGCCUAACACAUGCAAGUCGAGCGAGGACUUCGGUUCUAGCGGCGGACGGGUGAGUAACGCGUGGGAAUGUGCCCUUCUCUACGGAAUAGCCCUGGGAAACUGGGAGUAAUACCGUAUACGCCCUAUUGGGGAAAGAUUUAUCGGAGAAGGAUCAGCCCGCGUUAGAUUAGGUAGUUGGUGGGGUAAUGGCCUACCAAGCCGACGAUCCAUAGCUGGUUUGAGAGGAUGAUCAGCCACACUGGGACUGAGACACGGCCCAGACUCCUACGGGAGGCAGCAGUGGGGAAUCUUAGACAAUGGGGGCAACCCUGAUCUAGCCAUGCCGCGUGAGUGAUGAAGGCCUUAGGGUUGUAAAGCUCUUUCAGCUGGGAAGAUAAUGACGGUACCAGCAGAAGAAGCCCCGGCUAACUCCGUG